This 599-nucleotide ribosomal RNA is filed under the name Escherichia coli. Its description in RNAcentral is "bacterial SSU rRNA". It matches the Rfam family "Bacterial small subunit ribosomal RNA", at positions 923 to 1529 of the family's 1533-position model. Lineage: Bacteria; Pseudomonadati; Pseudomonadota; Gammaproteobacteria; Enterobacterales; Enterobacteriaceae. The record is from RNAcentral.
GCACAAGCGGUGGAGCAUGUGGUUUAAUUUGAAGAUACGCGUAGAACCUUACCCACUCUUGACAUCUUCUGCAAAGCUAUAGAGAUAUAGUGGAGGUUAACAGAAUGACAGAUGGUGCAUGGUUGUCGUCAGCUCGUGUCGUGAGAUGUUAGGUUAAGUCCUGCAACGAGCGCAACCCUUUUCUUUAGUUACUAAUAUUAAGUUAAGGACUCUAGAGAUACUGCCUGGGUAACCAGGAGGAAGGUGGGGACGACGUCAAAUCAUCAUGCCUCUUACGAGUGGGGCAACACACGUGCUACAAUGGUCGGUACAAAGAGAAGCAAUAUGGUGACAUGGAGCAAAUCUCAAAAAACCGAUCUCAGUUCGGAUUGAAGUCUGCAACUCGACUUCAUGAAGUCGGAAUCGCUAGUAAUCGUAGAUCAGCUACGCUACGGUGAAUACGUUCUCGGGUUUUGUACACACCGCCCGUCGCACCAUGGGAGUUGGUAAUGCCCAAAGUCGGUGAGUUAACUUCGGAGACCAUUGCCUAAGGCAGGACUGAUGACUGGGGUGAAGUCGUAACAAGGUAUCCCUACGAGAACGUGGGGAUGGAACACCUC